AAUGAACGUUGGCGGCGUGGAUUAGGCAUGCGAGUCGUGCGAGAACCGUAGCAAUACGGGGACAGCGGCGAAAGGGAGAGUAAUGCGUGGAUACCUACCCUCGGGUCCAGGAUAGCUGUGGGAAACUACAGGUAAUACUGGAUGACAUCUCCGGAUCAAAGGUGUGAUUCCGCCCGGGGAGGGGUCCGCGUCCUAUUAGCUAGUUGGUGGGGUAACGGCUCACCAAGGCGAAGAUGGGUAUGGGGACCUGAGAGGGUGGCCCCCCACAAUGGAACUGAAACACGGUCCAUACACCUACGGGUGGCAG
Molecule: ribosomal RNA, 307 nt
Filed under: uncultured Planctomycetota bacterium
Lineage: Bacteria; Pseudomonadati; Planctomycetota
Description: bacterial SSU rRNA
Rfam family: Bacterial small subunit ribosomal RNA
Source: RNAcentral